Long non-coding RNA from Bombyx mori (domestic silkworm), 1883 nucleotides. RefSeq lists it as uncharacterized. Lineage: Eukaryota; Metazoa; Arthropoda; Insecta; Lepidoptera; Bombycidae. The record is from RefSeq and is a predicted model, not a curated record. The transcript is spliced from 2 exons.
GUCGCCAUAUGAAAUCCGUUCAUCCCACAAUAAAUUAUAUUAAGUAAAAAAUAAAAUUAUUAUAUUAUUAAGUAAGUCAAUCUGUCAAGUAAUAUAACAGUGUAUUACAAUACAAAGUUCAUACUUUGUAUUGUAAUACACUACUGUAAUGACACACCCGAAUCAUUACCUAAGUGAUGUGUUUAUACACAUCACUUAGGUAAUGAUUGAUGAAAACAUUACACAUCACUCUUAACAUUACUCGGUGCGUUCAAUAGAUACUGUGACGACGAAUACAUUGUAUCUAUACACCCGAAUCAUUACCUAAGUGAUGUGUUUAUACACAUCACUUUGAACGCACCGAGUAAUGUUAAGAGUGAUGUGUAAUGUUUUCGAGUAAUAUCACCUAUCUGUAAAAGUGAUGUCAUAUCACAUUACAUUGGGAAGUGAUGUUUUGCGCAAGUCUAGUCUUCUUUAGUAUUUAUGUUCUUUAAUCAGAAAGAUACUUAUUAUUAUUUAUUAACAUCAUAGAUAUGGGGUGAAUGAAGUUAGCCCCUCAAAAAAAAUUUUUUUUCCUAUUUUCUACUUAUUUUCUAUUAAUUCGUUUGUUCAUCAUUUGUUCUUGAUUGUUCAUUGUUAAUAAUUGUUUGUUCCCCAUUUAUUUAUUUUAAAAAAAAUAUUAAAAAUAUAUCUAAAAGUUAGCCCCUCGAUUGUAAUUUUUAAUAUUUUUUCGUCCUUAAUUACUCGUAAAUAUUCAUUUUCGAUUGUUCUUAUAUAAAAUACGUUUGUUCUCUUUCGAAAUUACUCAUUUUUUGUUUAAUUAAUUGUAUUAGUUGAAUAAAUGUAUACAAAAUAUGUGUACUGCGCAUGCCAUAAGUGUAUAAUCUAUGGCGCAUGCGUCAACUAUAAUGCCUAAACUUUCUACGCGGUUUUAAUAGUGAAAAAAAAACAAUUAUAAAUCCUGAAGGAUCAAUUAAUUGGUAUACAGUUUAAUUAAAAAAUAAAUAAAUAAAAUAAUGUGCAUUCGCGUAAAGUUAGCCCAAAUACAUUUUUUCCAUCCUCCUAUAUACCUAUCGCUAUGAAGGUAUAAAAAAGAUAGGUUAAGAGUUCACAUAGGUAAUAUAAACAAAUAAGUAAAUAUGUUCAUUAUUUAUCUUUCAAGAGAUAAUGUAGGUAUACAUUAUAAUAACAUUUUGACACAGUCGAAAUUAUAUUCCUAACAUUAGUAAAAUAACAUUUUAAUAUUUUUUUUAUAGGUUAUGUAUUGAAAUUGUUGGAAAAUUAUUUCAUGUUUUAGCUGGAAAACUACAUGGAGAAUUAUAUGCAAUACAAGAUAAUGAGCUCCAUUAAAUGAAUUCGAAUGAAACCAAACUGUUUACCAUCCAAAUUCGAUUGUCGGGCAGAUAGAAAACGAAAAUUCACUCAUAGUGAACCUCGGCCUGCAUUUGUGAAACGGCAAAGACUCACUAUUAUCAAGGAAAUUGAAGAGACGACUAAAAAUGAGAUGUGUCGUAUUAUUAUACCUUUGCCAUCUUGUAGUCAAGAUGUCCAGCCACUUGAAAAUAGGUGUAGUAAUGACAAAGCUAUCCAAGUAGCUCCAGCACAGGAACACAAAGGCAAGGCAAGUGUGUAUUGCCACAUCACCCCUUAAUAUAUCUGAAGCAAGUAUAAGUAAACAAUCAGAACCAGCAAAAAAAAAAACUGUUGUUCCUGAGGACAAAUUUUACAGUGAUGAGUCAAAUGCACCAGCAACAGAAGGAUCAACUGUUGACUAUGGGUUAUAGAAGAAGAAGAUUAAUUCAUAUUUAUUUAAAUUAAUAUUAAUGAAUAUUAAUUUAAAUUAUCGUGCAAAAUUCGUGGUCAAAACAUAUGUGUAUUUCAUAAAUAAAUAUUCAUUCUCAGUA